GAAAUAUGAGAUCCGAGAAUGAGCUUCUAACUCACCCCUCAAGCGAUGAGACUUCGUUUAUAUUUCG
RNAcentral lists this transfer RNA (67 nucleotides) under Olethrius laevipennis. RNAcentral's name for it is "tRNA-Ser". Lineage: Eukaryota; Metazoa; Arthropoda; Insecta; Coleoptera; Cerambycidae. The record is from RNAcentral.